GGUUAAGCGACUAAGCGUACACGGUGGAUGCCCUGGCAGUCAGAGGCGAUGAAGGGCGUGCUAAUCUGCGAUAAGCGCCGGUAAGGUGAUAUGAACCGUUAUAACCGGCGAUACCCGAAUGGGGAAACCCAGUGUGACUCGUCACACUAUCAUUAACUGAAUCCAUAGGUUAAUGAGGCGAACCGGGGGAACUGAAACAUCUAAGUACCCCGAGGAAAAGAAAUCAACCGAGAUUCCCCCAGUAGCGGCGAGCGAACGGGGAGGAGCCCAGAGCCUGAAUCAGCAUGUGUGUUAGUGGAAGCGUCUGGAAAGGCGCGCGAUACAGGGUGACAGCCCCGUACACAAAAGCGCAUGUGCUGUGAGCUCGAUGAGUAGGGCGGGACACGUGGUAUCCUGUCUGAAUAUGGGGGGACCAUCCUCCAAGGCUAAAUACUCCUGACUGACCGAUAGUGAACCAGUACCGUGAGGGAAAGGCGAAAAGAACCCCGGCGAGGGGAGUGAAAAAGAACCUGAAACCGUGUACGUACAAGCAGUGGGAGCACCCUUUGGGGUGUGACUGCGUACCUUUUGUAUAAUGGGUCAGCGACUUAUAUUCUGUAGCAAGGUUAACCGUAUAGGGGAGCCGGAGGGAAACCGAGUCUUAACCGGGCGUUAAGUUGCAGGGUAUAGACCCGAAACCCGGUGAUCUAGCCAUGGGCAGGUUGAAGGUUGGGUAACACUAACUGGAGGACCGAACCGACUAAUGUUGAAAAAUUAGCGGAUGACCUGUGGCUGGGGGUGAAAGGCCAAUCAAACCGGGAGAUAGCUGGUUCUCCCCGAAAGCUAUUUAGGUAGCGCCUCGUGAACUCAUCUCCGGGGGUAGAGCACUGUUUCGGCUAGGGGGCCAUCCCGGCUUACCAACCCGAUGCAAACUGCGAAUACCGGAGAAUGUUAUCACGGGAGACACACGGCGGGUGCUAACGUCCGUCGUGAAGAGGGAAACAACCCAGACCGCCAGCUAAGGUCCCAAAGUCAUGGUUAAGUGGGAAACGAUGUGGGAAGGCCCAGACAGCCAGGAUGUUGGCUUAGAAGCAGCCAUCAUUUAAAGAAAGCGUAAUAGCUCACUGGUCGAGUCGGCCUGCGCGGAAGAUGUAACGGGGCUAAACCAUGCACCGAAGCUGCGGCAGCGACGCUGAUGCGUUGUUGGGUAGGGGAGCGUUCUGUAAGCCUGCGAAGGUGGCCUGUGAGGGUUGCUGGAGGUAUCAGAAGUGCGAAUGCUGACAUAAGUAACGAUAAAGCGGGUGAAAAGCCCGCUCGCCGGAAGACCAAGGGUUCCUGUCCAACGUUAAUCGGGGCAGGGUGAGUCGACCCCUAAGGCGAGGCCGAAAGGCGUAGUCGAUGGGAAACGGGUUAAUAUUCCCGUACUUGGUGUUACUGCGAAGGGGGGACGGAGAAGGCUAUGUUGGCCGGGCGACGGUUGUCCCGGUUUAAGCGUGUAGG
This 1479-nucleotide ribosomal RNA is filed under the name Salmonella enterica subsp. enterica serovar Montevideo str. SARB31. Its description in RNAcentral is "bacterial LSU rRNA". It matches the Rfam family "Bacterial large subunit ribosomal RNA", at positions 1 to 1524 of the family's 2925-position model. Lineage: Bacteria; Pseudomonadati; Pseudomonadota; Gammaproteobacteria; Enterobacterales; Enterobacteriaceae. The record is from RNAcentral.